RNAcentral lists this ribosomal RNA (253 nucleotides) under uncultured bacterium. Its description in RNAcentral is "partial 16S ribosomal RNA". It matches the Rfam family "Bacterial small subunit ribosomal RNA", at positions 524 to 776 of the family's 1533-position model. The record is from RNAcentral.
UACAGAGGGCUCAAGCGUUGUUCGGAUUCAUUGGGCGUAAAGGGUGCGUAGGCGGCGGGGUAAGUCGGAUGUGAAAUCCCGGGGCUCAACCCCGGAACUGCAUUCGAUACUGCUCUGCUAGAGUACUGGAGAGGAGACUGGAAUUUACGGUGUAGCAGUGAAAUGCGUAGAUAUCGUAAGGAAGACCAGUGGCGAAGGCGAGUCUCUGGACAGUUACUGACGCUGAGGCACGAAGGCCAGGGGAGCAAACGGG